CCAAAGCAUUCUCUGGUGUUGAAGGCCCUGCAAAGCAGCAUCGCGGUGGCGGAGCGUCGUUUGCGACGCCCAACACACAAAACAAGCGGUGAGUGCUUUGGGGUGGGGUGACUGCGUACCUUUUGUAUAAUGGGUCAGCGACUUAUAUUCUGUAGCAAGGUUAACCGAAUAGGGGAGCCGGAGGGAAACCGAGUCUUAAUUGGGCGUUAAGUUGCAGGGUAUAGACCCGAAACCCGGUGAUCUAGCCAUGGGCAGGUUGAAGGUUGGGUAACACUAACUGGAGGACCGAACCGACUAAUGUUGAAAAAUUAGCGGAUGACCUGUGGCUGGGGGUGAAAGGCCAAUCAAACCGGGAGAUAGCUGGUUCUCCCCGAAAGCUAUUUAGGUAGCGCCUCGUGAAUUCAUCUCCGGGGGUAGAGCACUGUUUCGGCUAGGGGGCCAUCCCGGCUUACCAACCCGAUGCAAACUGCGAAUACCGGAGAAUGUUAUCACGGGAGACACACGGCGGGUGCUAACGUCCGUCGUGAAGAGGGAAACAACCCAGACCGCCAGCUAAGGUCCCAAAGUCAUGGUUAAGUGGGAAACGAUGUGGGAAGGCCCAGACAGCCAGGAUGUUGGCUUAGAAGCAGCCAUCAUUUAAAGAAAGCGUAAUAGCUCACUGGUCGAGUCGGCCUGCGCGGAAGAUGUAACGGGGCUAAACCAUGCACCGAAGCUGCGGCAGCGACGCUUAUGCGUUGUUGGGUAGGGGAGCGUUCUGUAAGCCUGCGAAGGUGG
Molecule: ribosomal RNA, 774 nt
Filed under: Salmonella enterica
Lineage: Bacteria; Pseudomonadati; Pseudomonadota; Gammaproteobacteria; Enterobacterales; Enterobacteriaceae
Description: partial 23S ribosomal RNA
Rfam family: Bacterial large subunit ribosomal RNA (bases 82-774)
Source: RNAcentral